Long non-coding RNA from Nothoprocta perdicaria, 484 nucleotides. RefSeq lists it as uncharacterized. Lineage: Eukaryota; Metazoa; Chordata; Aves; Tinamiformes; Tinamidae. The record is from RefSeq and is a predicted model, not a curated record. The transcript has 3 exons.
CAUUGUACCUUCAUGGAAUGAGCUGUACACCUUCUAAUGGGUGCCAAAGAUAAAACUAACAAGCAAAUUCAGCUGAUGGAAAGCAUUUCUGCAAGAUUCUGGCUUCAGAAACAAACGGGCAAACAGCAGUUUCCCAGAAAAUGUCAUGGCAGAUCUUCUCACAGUCUGAACUCUUCUUGAAUUCUGUAAUAAAAUGUUUUGGCGGCCUUUUUAUUUUUUUGAAACAUAGACUGUCUUUUUCUGAUGGCUGCAUUUCUGGGCAAAAGGUUGCACUGUACAUCCCUGCUGACAAGUUUGGCUAUAGAUUGCUUUUAAAACCUUGUGUUUAUAACUCCAAAAACUACAGCACAAAUUUAUUUUGUAGUUUGGAGUCCUUUGGGAUUAGCACUGCAAAUUAAAAAUGAACACCAUCUCCCCCUUCUCGCCCCAGUUAUAGCUUCAAAUAAAGCAGAGAUUUGUAUAAAAGACUUAGGUGUUAACAUGA